Molecule: ribosomal RNA, 443 nt
Filed under: uncultured bacterium
Lineage: Bacteria
Description: partial 16S ribosomal RNA
Rfam family: Bacterial small subunit ribosomal RNA
Source: RNAcentral
CCUACGUGAGGCAGCAGUGGGGAAUAUUGGGCAAUGGGCGCAAGCCUGACCCAGCAACGCCGCGUGAAGGAAGAAGGCUUUCGGGUUGUAAACUCCUUUUCUCAGGGACGAAGCAAGUGACGGUACCUGAGGAAUCAGCCACGGCUAACUACGUGCCAGCAGCCGCGGUAAUACGUCGGUGGCAAGCGUUAUCCGGAUUUACUGGGUGUAAAGGGCGUGUAGGCGGGAAAGCAAGUCAGAUGUGAAAACCAUGGGCUCAACCUGUGGCCUGCAUUUGAAACUGUUUUUCUUGAGUACUGGAGAGGCAGACGGAAUUCCUAGUGUAGCGGUGAAAUGCGUAGAUAUUAGGAGGAACACCAGUGGCGAAGGCGGUCUGCUGGACAGCAACUGACGCUGAGGCGCGAAAGCGUGGGGAGCAAACAGGAUUAGAUACCCUAGUAGUC